AGAGUUUGAUCAUGGCUCAGAUUGAACGCUGGCGGCAGGCCUAACACAUGCAAGUCGAACGGUAACAGGAAGAAGCUUGCUUCUUUGCUGACGAGUGGCGGACGGGUGAGUAACGUCUGGGAAACUGCCUGAUGGAGGGGGAUAACUACUGGAAACGGUAGCUAAUACCGCAUAACGUCGCAAGACCAAAGAGGGGGACCUUCGGGCCUCUUGCCAUCGGAUGUGCCCAGAUGGGAUUAGCUUGUUGGUGGGGUAACGGCUCACCAAGGCGACGAUCCCUAGCUGGUCUGAGAGGAUGACCAGCCACACUGGAACUGAGACACGGUCCAGACUCCUACGGGAGGCAGCAGUGGGGAAUAUUGCACAAUGGGCGCAAGCCUGAUGCAGCCAUGCCGCGUGUAUGAAGAAGGCCUUCGGGUUGUAAAGUACUUUCAGCGGGGAGGAAGGGAGUAAAGUUAAUACCUCUGCUCAUUGACGUUACCCGCAGAAGAAGCACCGGCUAACUCCGUGCCAGCAGCCGCGGUAAUACGGAGGGUGCAAGCGUUAAUCGGAAUUACUGGGCGUAAAGCGCACGCAGGCGGUUUGUUAAGUCAGAUGUGAAAUCCCCGGGCUCAACCUGGGAACUGCAUCUGAUACUGGCAAGCUUGAGUCUCGUAGAGGGGGGUAGAAUUCCAGGUGUAGCGGUGAAAUGCGUAGAGAUCUGGAGGAAUACCGGUGGCGAAGGCGGCCCCCUGGACGAAGACUGACGCUCAGGUGCGAAAGCGUGGGGAGCAAACAGGAUUAGAUACCCUGGUAGUCCACGCCGUAAACGAUGUCGACUUGGAGGUUGUGCCCUUGAGGCGUGGCUUCCGGAGCUAACGCGUUAAGUCGACCGCCUGGGGAGUACGGCCGCAAGGUUAAAACUCAAAUGAAUUGACGGGGGCCCGCACAAGCGGUGGAGCAUGUGGUUUAAUUCGAUGCAACGCGAAGAACCUUACCUGGUCUUGACAUCCACGGAAGUUUUCAGAGAUGAGAAUGUGCCUUCGGGAACCGUGAGACAGGUGCUGCAUGGCUGUCGUCAGCUCGUGUUGUGAAAUGUUGGGUUAAGUCCCGCAACGAGCGCAACCCUUAUCCUUUGUUGCCAGCGGUCCGGCCGGGAACUCAAAGGAGACUGCCAGUGAUAAACUGGAGGAAGGUGGGGAUGACGUCAAGUCAUCAUGGCCCUUACGACCAGGGCUACACACGUGCUACAAUGGCGCAUACAAAGAGAAGCGACCUCGCGAGAGCAAGCGGACCUCAUAAAGUGCGUCGUAGUCCGGAUUGGAGUCUGCAACUCGACUCCAUGAAGUCGGAAUCGCUAGUAAUCGUGGAUCAGAAUGCCACGGUGAAUACGUUCCCGGGCCUUGUACACACCGCCCGUCACACCAUGGGAGUGGGUUGCAAAAGAAGUAGGUAGCUUAACCUUCGGGAGGGCGCUUACCACUUUGUGAUUCAUGACUGGGGUGAAGUCGUAACAAGGUAACCGUAGGGGAACCUGCGGUUGGAUCACCU
This 1530-nucleotide ribosomal RNA is filed under the name Escherichia coli. RNAcentral's name for it is "bacterial SSU rRNA". It matches the Rfam family "Bacterial small subunit ribosomal RNA". The record is from RNAcentral. Lineage: Bacteria; Pseudomonadati; Pseudomonadota; Gammaproteobacteria; Enterobacterales; Enterobacteriaceae.